This 80-nucleotide microRNA precursor is filed under the name Schistosoma japonicum. Its description in RNAcentral is "microRNA sja-mir-3491 precursor". Lineage: Eukaryota; Metazoa; Platyhelminthes; Trematoda; Strigeidida; Schistosomatidae. The record is from miRBase by way of RNAcentral.
AACUUCUCAAUGAACUAAAGUUGUAGAAUCAGCCGACUGAAAGCUACGGCUGAGCGAUUACUGGAGUUCAGAAUACUAUU